RNAcentral lists this ribosomal RNA (448 nucleotides) under uncultured bacterium. Its description in RNAcentral is "partial 16S ribosomal RNA". It matches the Rfam family "Bacterial small subunit ribosomal RNA", at positions 329 to 792 of the family's 1533-position model. The record is from RNAcentral.
CGCCAGACUCCUACGGGAGGCAGCAGUGGGGAAUAUUGCACAAUGGGGGGAACCCUGAUGCAGCGACGCCGCGUGGGCGAGGAAGUAUUUCGGUAUGUAAAGCCCUAUCGGCAGGGAAGAAGAAAUGACGGUACCUGAAUAAGAAGCACCGGCUAAAUACGUGCCAGCAGCCGCGGUAAUACGUAUGGUGCAAGCGUUAUCCGGAUUUACUGGGUGUAAAGGGCGUGUAGGCGGGACUGCAAGUCAGAUGUGAAAACCAUGGGCUCAACCUGUGGCCUGCAUUUGAAACUGUAGUUCUUGAGUACUGGAGAGGCAGACGGAAUUCCUAGUGUAGCGGUGAAAUGCGUAGAUAUUAGGAGGAACACCAGUGGCGAAGGCGUCUUACUGGACCGAAACUGACGUUGAGGCUCGAAAGCGUGGGAAGCAAACAGGAUUAGAUACCCGAGUA